Molecule: non-coding RNA, 200 nt
Organism: Electrophorus electricus (electric eel)
Lineage: Eukaryota; Metazoa; Chordata; Actinopteri; Gymnotiformes; Gymnotidae
Source: RefSeq, a predicted model, not a curated record
GACAAUAUAUGGCACCUUUGCUGCAGUUGCUCUUUCUACGACUCCAUUCCAAUCCGAACACUCAGCAUAGGCGGUUCGUGUAUGCAUGCACCUUGUCUCGGGUGGGGUUUGUACACCCUGAGGGAUCUCCAGGGAGUAGUCAAGCGUGACCAUAUGGGGCUUAUUGUUGACCCAAAGCACUGAUGUGGAGAUGUCUUGUU